RNAcentral lists this ribosomal RNA (301 nucleotides) under uncultured bacterium. RNAcentral's name for it is "partial 16S ribosomal RNA". It matches the Rfam family "Bacterial small subunit ribosomal RNA", at positions 509 to 807 of the family's 1533-position model. The record is from RNAcentral.
CAGUAGCCGCGGUAAUACGAAGGGGGCUAGCGUUGUUCGGAAUUACUGGGCGUAAAGCGCACGUAGGCGGAUCGAUCAGUCAGGGGUGAAAUCCCAGGGCUCAACCCUGGAACUGCCUUUGAUACUGGGUAUCUCGAGUCCGGAAGAGGUGAGUGGAAUUCCGAGUGUAGAGGUGAAAUUCGUAGAUAUUCGGAGGAACACCAGUGGCGAAGGCGGCUCACUGGUCCGGUACUGACGCUGAGGUGCGAAAGCGUGGGGAGCAAACAGGAUUAGAUACCCCAGUAGUCCCUGUCUCUUAUAC